Molecule: ribosomal RNA, 510 nt
Filed under: uncultured bacterium
Lineage: Bacteria
Description: partial 16S ribosomal RNA
Rfam family: Bacterial small subunit ribosomal RNA
Source: RNAcentral
GACGAACGCUGGCGGCGUGCUCAACACAUGCAAGUCGAACGAAGAGCGAUGGAAGCUUGCUUCUAUCAAUCUUAGUGGCGAACGGGUGAGUAACGCGUAAUCAACCUGCCCUUCAGAGGGGGACAACAGUUGGAAACGACUGCUAAUACCGCAUACGAUCUAAUCUCGGCAUCGAGGAUAGAUGAAAGGUGGCCUCUACAUGUAAGCUAUCACUGAAGGAGGGGAUUGCGUCUGAUUAGCUAGUUGGAGGGGUAACGGCCCACCAAGGCGAGGAUCAGUAGCCGGUCUGAGAGGAUGAACGGCCACAUUGGGACUGAGACACGGCCCAGACUCCUACGGGAGGCAGCAGUGGGGAAUCUUCCGCAAUGGACGAAAGUCUGACGGAGCAACGCCGCGUGAGUGAUGACGGCCUUCGGGUUGUAAAGCUCUGUUAAUCGGGACGAAAGGCCUUCUUGCGAAUAGUGAGAAGGAUUGACGGUACCGGAAUAGAAAGCCACGGCUAACUACGUG